This 433-nucleotide ribosomal RNA is filed under the name uncultured Ruminococcus sp. RNAcentral's name for it is "partial 16S ribosomal RNA". It matches the Rfam family "Bacterial small subunit ribosomal RNA", at positions 341 to 791 of the family's 1533-position model. The record is from RNAcentral. Lineage: Bacteria; Bacillati; Bacillota; Clostridia; Eubacteriales; Oscillospiraceae.
ACGGGAGGCAGCAGUGGGGAAUAUUGCACAAUGGGGGAGACCCUGAUGCAGCGAUGCCGCGUGGAGGAAGAAGGUUUUCGGAUUGUAAACUCCUGUCUUAAAGGACGAUAAUGACGGUACUUUGGGAGGAAGCUCCGGCUAACUACGUGCCAGCAGCCGCGGUAAUACGUAGGGAGCGAGCGUUGUCCGGAAUUACUGGGUGUAAAGGGAGCGUAGGCGGGAUUGCAAAUCAGAUGUGAAAUAUACGGGCUCAACCUGUAGACUGCAUUUGAAACUGUAGUUCUUGAGUGAAGUAGAGGCAAGCGGAAUUCCUGGUGUAGCGGUGAAAUGCGUAGAUAUCAGGAGGAACACCGGUGGCGAAGGCGGCUUGCUGGGCUUUUACUGACGCUGAGGCUCGAAAGCGUGGGGAGCAAACAGGAUUAGAUACCCUGUA